This 318-nucleotide unclassified non-coding RNA is filed under the name soil metagenome. RNAcentral's name for it is "partial contains small subunit ribosomal RNA, internal transcribed spacer 1, and 5.8S ribosomal RNA". The record is from RNAcentral.
UUUCCGUAGGUGAACCUGCGGAAGGAUCAUUAACACAACAAGUCAACACUCUUCACCGAGUGUUUUCUUCUUAACCCCCCUUUUGUGCGAACGUGUGUUUCUAUACCGUUUGGGGGGAUGGUACCUGGGCAGCGCUCGCUCUUUUUUGAAGAGAGCUGCUGCUGCUGCUGCUGGGCCAUCCCUUUCUUUCAACCUUUUUAUUAACCCCUUGAACUGUCUUUGACUGAACUUGGUCUGAUUUCUUUCUUCGAAAGAACAAAGAAAAAGGACUAUACAUCCAACGCUGAACAACUCUUAGCAACGGAUAUCUUGGCUCUC